Molecule: non-coding RNA, 113 nt
Organism: Acanthosepion pharaonis
Lineage: Eukaryota; Metazoa; Mollusca; Cephalopoda; Sepiida; Sepiidae
Source: the annotation of a GenBank genome assembly
UACGGCCACAUCUCAUUGAAACACUGCUUCUCAUACGAUCACAGAAGUUAAGGUACGUCAAGCGUUGUCAGUAUCUAGAUGAGUGACAACUUGCGAAUACCAGGUGCUGUAAG